This 253-nucleotide ribosomal RNA is filed under the name uncultured bacterium. RNAcentral's name for it is "partial 16S ribosomal RNA". It matches the Rfam family "Bacterial small subunit ribosomal RNA", at positions 524 to 776 of the family's 1533-position model. The record is from RNAcentral.
UACAGAGGGGGCAAGCGUUGUUCGGAAUUACUGGGCGUAAAGGGCGCGUAGGCGGCCUUCUAAGUCGAACGUGAAAUCCCCGGGCUCAACCCGGGAACUGCGUCCGAUACUGGAAGGCUUGAAUCCGGGAGAGGGAUGUGGAAUUCCAGGUGUAGCGGUGAAAUGCGUAGAUAUCUGGAGGAACACCGGUGGUGAAGGCGGCUCUCUGGAACGGUACUGACGCUGAGGCGCGAAAGCGUGGGGAGCGAACAGG